Dioscorea cayenensis subsp. rotundata (Guinea yam) is the source of this 629-nucleotide long non-coding RNA. RefSeq lists it as uncharacterized. The record is from RefSeq and is a predicted model, not a curated record. NCBI's taxonomy places the organism in Eukaryota, Viridiplantae, Streptophyta, Magnoliopsida, Dioscoreales, Dioscoreaceae. The transcript is spliced from 3 exons.
AAUGGAAGUGGCACUGAUCUCCGGCAUCUUGACUUGGGUCAUCUUCAGAAUUUAAAGAACAUUGUUUGGAAGGAUGUGGCACCUCAACGGUUUUUUUGUAAUCUGCAGCUUCCGACGAUAAAUGAAUGCCGAAUCAAAGAGUUAUUUACAGAGGAGGAUGGAGAAAUUCAAUGAGUAUCCGAAGCCCCUUCCUUUCCCAGCCUGAGAAGUUUGACACUCGAACAUUCACCGAAUUUAGUGAGCAUGAGCAAUUAAGCAUUGGAUUUUCCUCUUCUUUGCUCAUUUCCAAUUUUUAAUUGUCCGAAUUUAAAGAGGCUUGCAUUCAAACCAGACAUUGUCAACAAAGAAUUUGUACAAAUUCAUUGUGUUAAAGAGUGGUGGGAGAGAUUGGAGUGGGAAGAUGACACCAUCCAGUCUUUCCUUUCAAGAUUCAUCAAUUUUAUUGAGAUCAGUCAUUAUCUCUCAACUGUCCCAUUUUGAUUGAAGGUGUUGGAACUAUAUCCAGUUUAAAGAAGGAUGAAGAUGGUCGACCAGUAUUUGAAUUCAUUGAAGAAAAAUUAAAAAGCCUAAAAAAUUUCAGAUAUUUGUUAGAGAUCACCAAGUAUCAUACAGAUGCAACUUACAUAUGC